RNAcentral lists this small RNA (1215 nucleotides) under Pan troglodytes (chimpanzee). RNAcentral describes it as "processed transcript". The record is from RNAcentral. Lineage: Eukaryota; Metazoa; Chordata; Mammalia; Primates; Hominidae.
AGUGCUUGCACUGAGCCCACAGUCCUUAUCCUCAUGCGUGGCCCAUUGUCUAAUGAUCGUCCUCUCAAAAUAGGUGGCAGGCCACUGCCCAAUGCUGAAGUCACUGUUUAACGAAGGUGGAGCCUGCCUUUACCUGGUACACCCAUAUAAGGAAAAGCCUGAGGUCAGGAGCAAGCAGACACCAGCACUGCUCUUUCUCCAAGACGGCCGGCCAUGCUCUCCUCCUCUGCCAGUCUCCUCCACCACUCUCUAACCUGAGAGCCUGUGGAACCUGCCCGUCUCCCCUCCUCCAUCAGACACACCUGCCUAGGAAACAGGAAAGGACCUCGGAAGUCUUCUAAGGAGAGUCAUGGCCUAUUACCAGGAGCCUUCAGUGGAGACCUCCAUCAUCAAGUUCAAAGACCAGGACUUUACCACCUUGCGGGAUCACUGCCUGAGCAUGGGCCGGACGUUUAAGGAUGAGACAUUCCCUGCAGCAGAUUCUUCCAUAGGCCAGAAGCUGCUCCAGGAAAAACGCCUCUCCAAUGUGAUAUGGAAGCGGCCACAGGAUCUACCAGGGGGUCCUCCUCACUUCAUCCUUGAUGAUAUAAGCAGAUUUGACAUCCAACAAGGAGGCGCAGCUGACUGCUGGUUCCUGGCAGCACUGGGCUCCUUGACUCAGAACCCACAGUACAGGCAGAAGAUCCUGAUGGUCCAAAGCUUUUCACACCAGUAUGCUGGCAUUUUCCGUUUCCGGUUCUGGCAAUGUGGCCAGUGGGUGGAAGUGGUGAUUGAUGACCGCCUACCUGUCCAGGGAGAUAAAUGCCUCUUUGUGCGUCCUCGCCACCAAAACCAAGAGUUCUGGCCCUGCCUGCUGGAGAAGGCCUAUGCCAAGCUGCUUGGAUCCUAUUCCGAUCUGCACUAUGGCUUCCUCGAGGAUGCCCUGGUGGACCUCACAGGAGGCGUGAUCACCAACAUCCAUCUGCACUCUUCCCCUGUGGACCUGGUGAAGGCAGUGAAGACAGCGACCAAGGCAGGCUCCCUGAUAACCUGUGCCACUCCAAGCGGGCCAACAGAUACAGCACAGGCGAUGGAGAAUGGGCUGGUGAGUCUGCACGCCUACACUGUGACCGGGGCUGAGCAGAUUCAAUACAGAAGGGGCUGGGAAGAAAUUAUCUCCCUGUGGAACCCCUGGGGCUGGGGCGAGACCGAAUGGAGAGGGCGCUGGAGUGAUGG